GUAGGUGAACCUGCGGAAGGAUCAUUAUCACGUAUCCACGUAUAAACCAUAACUGUGAACUGUUGCUCUCUGAGACGCCUUCUUUCUCUUUUCGUGAAUACUUGUUUGCUUUUGCGAUAGGGUUAGAAGGUUCUUUUUGGGCUUAUUUUUUUUUAAAAUUAUUUAUUAACUAUUUGAACCAAAUAUAUACACUUCAUUCUAUGUGACUGAACUGUUUCUUUACCCGAUACAUUUAUUUGUUAGGGAAGAAAUUGAUAUACGUAACAAUAAGAACAACUCUUAGCAACGGAUAUCUUGGUUCUC
This 303-nucleotide unclassified non-coding RNA is filed under the name rhizosphere metagenome. Its description in RNAcentral is "partial ribosomal RNA internal transcribed spacer region". The record is from RNAcentral.